GAUGAACGCUGGCGGCGUGCCUAAUACAUGCAAGUCGAGCGAACGGACGAGAAGCUUGCUUCUCCGAUGUUAGCGGCGGACGGGUGAGUAACACGUGGAUAACCUACCUAUCAGACUGGGAUAACUUCGGGAAACCGGAGCUAAUACCGGAUAAUAUUUUGAACCGCAUGGUUCAAAAGUGAAAGACGGUCUUGCUGUCACUUAUAGAUGGAUCCGCGCUGCAUUAGCUAGUUGGUAAGGUAACGGCUUACCAAGGCAACGAUGCAUAGCCGACCUGAACGAGUGAUCGGCCACACGGGAACUGAGACACGGUCCAGACUCCUACGGGAGGCAGCAGUAGGGAAUCUUACGCGAGGGGCGAAAGCCUGACGGAGCAACGCCGCGUGAUGGAUGAAGGUCUUCUGAUCGUAAAACUCUGUUAUUAUGGAAGAACAUAUGUGUAAGUAACUGUGCACAUCUUGACGGUACCUAAUCAGAAAGCCACGGCUAACUACGUG
RNAcentral lists this ribosomal RNA (497 nucleotides) under uncultured bacterium. RNAcentral's name for it is "partial 16S ribosomal RNA". It matches the Rfam family "Bacterial small subunit ribosomal RNA", at positions 28 to 507 of the family's 1533-position model. The record is from RNAcentral.